This is a non-coding RNA of Nematostella vectensis (starlet sea anemone), 121 nucleotides long. The record is from Rfam. NCBI's taxonomy places the organism in Eukaryota, Metazoa, Cnidaria, Anthozoa, Actiniaria, Edwardsiidae.
AACUUUUAACGGUGGAUCUCUUGGCUCGUGCAUCGAUGAAGAACGCAGCCAGGUGCGAUAAGUAGUGUGAAUUGCAGAAUUCAGUGAAUCAUCGAAUCUUGAACGCAAAUGGCGCUCUUGG